RNAcentral lists this ribosomal RNA (380 nucleotides) under uncultured cyanobacterium. RNAcentral describes it as "bacterial SSU rRNA". It matches the Rfam family "Bacterial small subunit ribosomal RNA", at positions 376 to 770 of the family's 1533-position model. Lineage: Bacteria; Bacillati; Cyanobacteriota. The record is from RNAcentral.
CGAAAGCCUGACGGAGCAAGACCGCGUGGGGGAGGAAUGCCUUAGGGUUGUAAACCCCUUUUAUCUGGGAAGAACAAAAUGACGGUACCAGAUGAAUAAGCCUCGGCUAACUCCGUGCCAGCAGCCGCGGUAAUACGGAGGAGGCAAGCGUUAUCCGGAAUGAUUGGGCGUAAAGCGUCCGCAGGUGGCAAUGUAAGUCUGCUGUCAAAACCCAGGGCUCAACUCUGGUCAGGCAGUGGAAACUACAUAGCUAGAGUUCGGUAGGGGCAAAGGGAAUUCCCGGUGUAGCGGUGAAAUGCGUAGAUUUCGGGAAGAACAUCGGUGGCGAAAGCGCCCUACUGGGCCAUAACUGACACUGAGGGACGAAAGCUAGGGUAGCG